AUUUAAGUAUUUUAUGGGAGCAAGAAAGACAAAAUACUCAUCAAGGAAAUUUUUCAGGAAUUAAAAAACCAAACCCACAGUGAAUGAAGAAUUAGAAGCCAAUAAGUCACACCUCUCCCUCUCUUUUUCUGUUCAUGACCCUUUACAACCACUAUAACUGGGGCUCUGAGCAUUGCUGCGCCACUGGCUGGAGUGAAGGUACUGGAGCUCAGGAAGGGCAGUGAGAAAGGCAGGUGUCCACCGAACUGCAGUAAGAGACUACAAGAUUAUACGGCCUGAAGUCAAAAAGCCACUAAUUGAGGAGAGCAGCUUCAUCCAGAAGAGGAUACUGGUAAGACAGAUGUUGUGACUUAGCUCUGUUUCAACAAGACCGUUCUUUCUUUUACAGUUCUACAAAUACAUGAUAGAAUAAGACUAUAUCCUCUGCUCUUUAUUCAUCUGUUCUUUCCUCUGACUUGGUAUUUAGGCUUCAAUAGAGGAUUUUUUUCAUGAACCACUACUCUUCUUAUAAGGAGAAAAAAAUUUAAAAUUCCUUAAGGCCAAUUUAAAUCUGAGAUCCUUAUGCACAGUUCUUAUUGUUAGAGAAAGGGAAGUGUGGGGUGGAUGUAAGUGCCAUCUUAUAUCUAUACAACAGUGCUUUUAUGUGUGGAUUUAUGGUCUGUCACCAGCUUUUGCUCCAUCAUUCUCACUUUCUACAGCAAAGUUGACUUGCCAGUGUGGAAGUUGAUACUAGCCAUCUGAAUGUGGAAAUCUGUAAUUUCUCACAGGAGAGGGGCUUUCCUCCUCAGCUCUUCUGUUUGCAUACACCUAUAACAGCUCGUGAGGGAGUCGGGGAACUGCAGGGAGCAGACAGCUGAGGGAUAACCACGAAUCAGGUAGUUCAAUCUUGAGCAGACAUGUAUGUACAUGGGUACAGAAGAGAGAAAUCGCAGCGAAACAGUGAAAGCAAAAAAUGGAGCAACCUGCAAAGCCACAAGAAUGCCAAAGACAAAUAAUGAAUCUCUACCAGAUCACAAAAUCAGAGACUGUACAGAGGAAAAAAGAGUCCCAGGCGAGAGGUCCCAGAAAGGAGAAGACAAGAGACAGCCCAAUUCUUGCUGGCUCUGAACAGACAUGAUGAGCUCUCCACCUAGAUUCUGAAUUUCUGCUUUAACUUGACUGCAGAUUUUGAGCUGAUGGGAGUACAGCUUGAUCUGUUCUAGAGUUUAUUCAACUUGAUCAGCAGAUCUUCUGUAUCAGUGGGAACAGGAAAAUAAGAAUGUCUUACAGAAAACUCACCGAUUUCAAUACUUUUAACAACACAGGGUUUUUUAUAAAAAAAUAGCAUCCUUCUGCCCUCACUUCUGUGAACUCCCAAAAUACUUGGAGUACUUGGAGGUGAAAUGCCGCUCUGUGAGUACCAGGCUAGACACCUAAGGCCUGGUAUGCAUUUGUUCUAAAGCUGCUUUUCAUUGCUCUGGCAGAAUAAAGGGAUCUUGAGGUGAACGGUGAGUCCCUAUUGUGCUACCACAGCUGUAAAAAGUCAGCAUGAUAAGUAAGAAAUAGAUCCCUACAGUUUUUCAGACGUGUUUUUAGCCUGUGUGCUGUACUUACAUUAUAAUACGGUCACUUUAAAGAAAAGAUACAUUCCCACCAACUGCAGUCGCAGCAGUCAUCUCUGAUUUUGUAUAGUUAUUUAAACUUUUGGUCUUAUGGAAUUGUGGUCAACAGAUUUAAAUCCAAAACCUGCCAGAAGUCAGAAAAAGCACAGAUUCUACUUAACCCAUGAAAUGCUUUGCCUAAACAACUAGCUUUGCUGAAGAAACUUUAUACUUGUUUAAAAUGGGGGUGUGACAAUUCUACUCUUCAUGACUAUGCAGUAUGUUUGGUUAAGCAAACAAGUUCAUGUUUUAGACUUAGGAAACAAUAACAAUGAGUAAGGAAGAUUAACAUGAACAAUUUUAAAUUAAUUUAUAUGAAUUAAAUGUCAGUCUUUACCUUGUGUUCUGCUAGAUCCAUUACUAAAAUGUUUUCUGUACUUUGACAUAGUUUAGAAGAAAGAUAGAGGAGUUUCUGGACAUGUUCUCUUUCUUAUGUGUGACGUUUUCAAAGUGUUAGCGUAUUAUGGAAAACUAUCCUAAAAUAUGUCUUUGUUUCUUGCUUACUCAACACUGCUUUAAGAACCACACAAAUCAGUACUGGUAUCCCACUGACUGUUUAGAAAACUGGAAUACUCAUUGUUUAUUUAAUUUUAAUUAAUAAAAAAUUGUCCUUCCAGUCAAAUACAACUAAUUCCUUUAAACAUCAGAACUAAUUAUACCAAGACAGGGUAUAUUUCCUGGAACAAGACGCUUGCUCCUCCAUUUUUGCUUUUCUUAAAUACACUGUGAUUUACAUUUUUCCACCACUGGAAAAAUUCAAGAGAUGGGCAGAUAGGGUGUCAAUGUAGUGUCUCAUCCACUUUAAAUCGUGACAAUGUCAAUUACAGAACUUCAGAGGCAAGAAUAAUUUAACCUUAUUAUAUAGUACUCUUUUACAUAUUGGCAGGCCAAUCACAUUUACUAUCUUCCUUAUAUACCCUUUGAGAAGAAAUGUGUAACAUUUUAGGAAUGCUAAAGAUGAUAUGCAUCAAAGACCGGGAAAUUGCCACUCAAGAACAAGACCUUGAAGUUAAAACAGUUCUAUGAAAACACUGGUUCAGUGCUCAGUAGCAUUCAAAAAAAGCAAAUGCUAGGCAUUAUUAGGAAAAGACUUCUGAAAUGUGAUCAUGCAACUGUAGGACUCUCUGGUAUACCCACAACUUUACUACCCAGUGUAGAUAGAUAUGGUGCAUCUCUCCCCUCCCUUGCCUACUACGAGGCACAUAAGACAACAGGAAAAGGACAACAAAGAUUUUUAUGAAGACAGGUAUUCUUUCCUCCAAUAAAAACCCAAGAGGUCAUUAAAAGUUACUAGCAUGAGUUCAAACCAAAAGGAGAUGGUUCUUAACACUGUGUUGUUAAGUUGCAGAAAUCUUUGUUGCAGCAUGGUUAUACUAAAAGCUUACAUGGGUUAAAAAAGUUACUGGACAAAUCAAUGAAAAACAUCAAGGACUAUUUAAUGUAUCAAUGUAUCAAAAAUAUGUUUGGUUAAGUAAAUUCUUGAAUGGCUGCUGGAGGUUGGGAGACCAUAUUGUCAAGUAUCAUGAAACACAUGCCAUUAUCUCACCGAGUUCUGUAUAUAUUCACUACUGUCAGCAACAGGAUAUUGGCCUAAAUGAACCUAUGGUCCAACCAAGUGUGCUCAUUUUUAUGUACUUUACCCAUAAAAUUUUCCAAGAUGAUAGGAUCAAGGCAGGGACCAACACAAUGCAAAGAAGAGGCAUCUACAGGGGCAGACAUAACACUCUACACUACUUUAAGCAGGAUAAAGUACUACAAAAAAAUUAAAGCCUCAUGCCUUAUAGCAUAUCCCAAUCAACCAUGGACAGAUGUUAGAAAGAAAUGUACUCUGUAGAGGAUAUUCCAUAAGGAAUCCUCUACAUAUGGCUCAGAAGAAUCUGGUGCAAGCAACACUUGCUCACUAGUGAAACCAAGCACUAGGCUGCAACAGAAGGACAAUUAAUAACUUCUGAGUUUAAUCAUCCCACAGGCAAUUGAUGGUUACCAGUUUAAUGUCUCACAUUCUUAACUAGAGAUCCUGGCAAAGUAUGAGAGGUUCUUUCCCAUACAUAUUGAAGGUAGAGAGGUGUUAAGAGCCUUCCAUUAAGAACAGGAUCAGAACUGACUUGCAUCCAAAUGAUGCAGUGGUGUUUUACCCAACAGAAGUAAUUAUCCAGAAGCCUCCAGGUCAUCUGAUAAAUUAUGCAGUGAUUAAAGACACAGUGAAACCAACAUUCACAAUCCCAGUGAAAAAGCCACUGGCACAGCAGUGGCACAAAAGACCAAGACAAACAAUUCUGGAGGAAAUUCUGACUGUAAACAAUACUGUUCUUGCUUUACGUUGAUUUCAUCCCUUUGCUAACAAAGUCGGUAGCAUUUCUCUAGAAUCUGAAUCUGUCUUCAUGGUGAGUAAUACUGUGUAUAAUCACACACAGAUCCACUACUAUAAAUACAAAUGUAUAAUAAUUUAUUGCAACUAGUUAUUAACUGUAAGCUUGUAGGUAAGAUGAUCCUGUAAUUGGAAGAUAUUUUCGGCACAUCUGCUUGCAUCAUAUUCACCAGCUAAUCAUUUUAAAGGAUGCCUUUUUAGUUUUACUUUCAGGGAAACUUUUUUGAAGUACAUGAAAUCAGCUUCUAAGUCAGGAGACUACCUGAUUCUAUAGCAAGACAUGUUUCAUACUGAUCCCUAAACUUCCAGAAUUUGAAAGUAGUUAACUUUUUAUUGCCUUGUAUUUAUUGAUCCUAACCGAGAAACCACUGUACAUGGAGGAGUUAGUGACCCACGCAGCAGUUAACCUGAGUAGGGCCAGGCCUGGGCUGUGCUGUGGUGCACAAAUCCCUCGUCCGCAGCAUACACCUAGCUAAUGUAUGGCAGCAGAGGAGCCUGCGGGCAGCUCCCACUUGGUAGUGGUGAUUGGGACACUGGCAUAUCCUUGCCUUUAUCUAGGACUGCAGAAAGGAGUUCUCAUGUCAACAUCCCGUUUGACAGUGGAAAUGAUUAAUAGAGUUGUUUUGUUCUGAGAGAAUGCCAUAAUAGCUCGAAUGACCAAAAUGGGGGAAUCUCUUCUACAGAGAGGGUCUGCCCAGCACGCUGUGGAUGGCUCCAAGGCCCAUUUGGUGCUGCACCACCUGGGGUUCCCACCACUGAAAGGGAUGUAAGAUUAUCUACGCUAUUCUUUCCUUACAGUGUUAGCUCUGACAAACAGCAUUUUAAAUGACAUCUCAGAGAGUCUGGGUGCCUGUCUUACUUGGAUCAUAGCGGACCAGCAUCUCCUGGUGCAAAACAACUGGAAUAGUGAGGAGGCUUUUAAUAAAGAUCUUAAUCUACAGCACACAGCAUUAAAACCAGGAUGUACUAACUGCCUUAAUUAUCUUACGGCUUUCAGGUCACAAAUUUAACAAUGAAUUUGAAACAAUCUUAUUUUAAACUAAAUUUAUUAUCAAUGUACUUGUGAUUAAUUUGCCUAGUUUUAUGUUGAUGUGGUACUGUAAUUAUUUUCACAGUUGUUAACUCUGAGUCAUCUUAAAAGUGCUGUAUGGACUCAAAUACAACUGAAUUCUGCUAAUUAUACCAUACUGUGUCCCUUUCCUUCAAACGCAGGAAGAGGGGUUUAUAAAAAUCUGAAAUGAAGAACAGUGUAUCAGAGAAGUGCUGCUGUGGCUGACAAGUUAUAAAUACUGCUAAUACAGUUUCAAGGUGGUUUGUUUUGGUUUUUUUUUUUUCCCCUCCUAAAAGAAAAACUGUAUGAAUGAUGUAAGUCCACAGUUCUCAAUUAUGAUUCUCUAAAAUUACAUGGAGUGUGAACCAAAAUCAUUCAUUUGAAAAUGUUUUAUGAACAGGAAAAGGUCAAAAAGAUAUGACAGUGAUUCUUCA
This is a long non-coding RNA of Aquila chrysaetos chrysaetos, 5493 nucleotides long. RefSeq lists it as uncharacterized. Lineage: Eukaryota; Metazoa; Chordata; Aves; Accipitriformes; Accipitridae. The transcript is spliced from 5 exons. The record is from RefSeq and is a predicted model, not a curated record.